This 431-nucleotide ribosomal RNA is filed under the name uncultured bacterium. Its description in RNAcentral is "bacterial SSU rRNA". It matches the Rfam family "Bacterial small subunit ribosomal RNA", at positions 11 to 429 of the family's 1533-position model. The record is from RNAcentral.
GUUUGAUCCUGGCUCAGAAUCAACGCUGGCGGCGUGCGUAACACAUGCAAGUCGAACGCGAAAGUCCCGCAAGGGAUUAGUAGAGUGGCAAACGGGUGAGUAACACGUGGGUGACCUGCCUUCGAGUGGGGGAUAACGUCCCGAAAGGGACGCUAAUACCGCGUGACAUCCUGCCUUUGAAGAGGUGGAGCUUAAAGCUGGGGAUCGCAAGACCUGGCGCUUGAAGAGGGGCCCGCGCCUGAUUAGCUAGUUGGUGAGGUAACGGCUCACCAAGGCAUCGAUCAGUAUCCGGCCUGAGAGGGCGGACGGACACACUGGGACUGAGACACGGCCCAGACUCCUACGGGAGGCAGCAGUGGGGAAUUGUUCGCAAUGGGCGCAAGCCUGACGACGCAACGCCGCGUGGAGGAUGAAGAUCUUCGGGUCGUAAA